This 2261-nucleotide ribosomal RNA is filed under the name Veillonella parvula. RNAcentral describes it as "partial 23S ribosomal RNA". It matches the Rfam family "Bacterial large subunit ribosomal RNA", at positions 310 to 2582 of the family's 2925-position model. Lineage: Bacteria; Bacillati; Bacillota; Negativicutes; Veillonellales; Veillonellaceae. The record is from RNAcentral.
CAUUAACGAGAAGUUAUGGAUAAUUGAAGAUGACUGGAAAGUCAAGCCAUAGAGUGUAAUAGCCACGUAAGUGAAAUUCAUAAUAAUCAAGUUCUGAUCCAGAGUACCACGAGACACGUGAAACCUUGUGGGAAGCAGGGAGGACCACCUCCCAAGGCUAAAUACUACCUGAUGACCGAUAGUGAAGCAGUACCGUGAGGGAAAGGUGAAAAGAACCCCGGGAGGGGAGUGAAAUAGAACCUGAAACCGUGUGCCUACAACCGGUCAAAGCCCCUUAUGAGGGUGAUGACGUGCUUUUUGUAGAACGAGCCAACGAGUUACGGUAUGUAGCAAGGUUAAGUACUUAAGGUACGGAGCCGAAGGGAAACCGAGUCUUAAUAGGGCGACUAGUUGCAUGCCGUAGACCCGAAACCGGGUGACCUAUCCAUGGCCAGGUUGAAGCGGGGGUAAAACCCCGUGGAGGACCGAACCACGUUGCUGUUGAAAAAGCAUGGGAUGAGCUGUGGAUAGCGGAGAAAUUCCAAUCGAACUCGGAGAUAGCUGGUUCUCCUCGAAAUAGCUUUAGGGCUAGCGUCGGAUAUGAGUAGUGGAGGUAGAGCACUGAAUGGGCUAGGGGGCAUAGCGCUUACCGAACCUUAUCAAACUCCGAAUGCCACAUACUAUUAGUCCGGCAGUCAGACUGCGAAAGAUAAGUUCCGUAGUCAAAAGGGAAACAGCCCAGAUCGUCAGCUAAGGUCCCAAAGUGUAAGUUAAGUGGAAAAGGAUGUGGGAUUUCUAAGACAACUAGGAUGUUGGCUUAGAAGCAGCCACUCAUUAAAAGAGUGCGUAAUAGCUCACUAGUCGAGAGAUCCUGCGCCGAAGAUGUCCGGGGCUCAAACUUACCACCGAAGCUACGGGUUCACACUUAUGUGUGAGCGGUAGAGGAGCGUCGUAAUCGGGCUGAAGUCGUACCGUAAGGAGCGGUGGACUGAUUACGAGUGAGAAUGUUGGCAUUAGUAGCGAGAUGUGGGUGAGAAUCCCACAGGCCGAAUAUCUAAGGUUUCCUCAGGAAGGUUCGUCCGCUGAGGGUUAGUCGGGACCUAAGCCGAGGCCGAAAGGCGUAGGCGAUGGACAAUCGGUUGAUAUUCCGAUACCACUACUGAUCGUUAUUAUCGAUGGUGUGACGGAGAAGGAUAGAGUGUGCUAGCUAUUGGAUGCUAGUCUAAGCGUUUAGGGAGUUAGGAAAGGCAAAUCCGUCCUAACAAUUCUGAGGCGUGAUGGGGAAGGUUCUACGGAACCGAAGUACUUGAUUCCAUGCUUCCAAGAAAAGCAUCUAGAGAGAGAUGUAGUGCCCGUACCGCAAACCGACACAGGUAGAUGAGGAGAGAAUCCUAAGGCCGGCGGAAGAAUCACAGUUAAGGAACUAGGCAAAUUGACCCCGUAACUUAGGGAGAAGGGGUGCCUGUGAGAGCAGGCCGCAGAGAAUAGGCCCAAGCAACUGUUUAGCAAAAACACAGGUCUCUGCUAAAGCGAAAGCUGAUGUAUAGGGGCUGACGCCUGCCCGGUGCUGGAAGGUUAAGGGGAACACUUAGCGCAAGCGAAGGUGUGAACUUAAGCCCCAGUAAACGGCGGCCGUAACUAUAACGGUCCUAAGGUAGCGAAAUUCCUUGUCAGGUAAGUUCUGACCCGCACGAAUGGCGUAAUGACUUGGGCACUGUCUCAACUGUGAAUCCGGCGAAGUUGUAGUGCGAGUGAAGAUGCUCGCUACCCGCGAUUGGACGGAAAGACCCCGUAGAGCUUUACUGUAGCUUAGCAUUGAAUUUCGGUAUUGUCUGUACAGGAUAGGUGGGAGACUGGGAAAUCAGGGCGUCAGCCUUGAUGGAGUCGUCCUUGGGAUACCACCCUGACAGUACUGAGGUUCUAACUGGAUGCCAUGAAUCUGGUGACAGGACAUUGUUAGGUGGGCAGUUUGACUGGGGCGGUCGCCUCCUAAAAAGUAACGGAGGCGCCCAAAGGUUCCCUCAGAACGGUCGGAAAUCGUUCGAAGAGUGCAAAGGCAGAAGGGAGCCUGACUGCGACACCCACAAGUGGAGCAGGGACGAAAGUCGGGCUUAGUGAUCCGGUGGUACCUCGUGGGAGGGCCAUCGCUCAACGGAUAAAAGCUACCUCGGGGAUAACAGGCUGAUCUCCCCCAAGAGUCCACAUCGACGGGGAGGUUUGGCACCUCGAUGUCGGCUCGUCGCAUCCUGGGGCUGAAGUAGGUCCCAAGGGUUGGGCUGUUC